This is a long non-coding RNA of Oncorhynchus keta (chum salmon), 987 nucleotides long. RefSeq lists it as uncharacterized. The record is from RefSeq and is a predicted model, not a curated record. The transcript has 4 exons. NCBI's taxonomy places the organism in Eukaryota, Metazoa, Chordata, Actinopteri, Salmoniformes, Salmonidae.
CUCUCUCUGCGUUAUCCUGAAACCAUUCUUUCUCUCUGGCCUCUCAUUCUUUCUCAUCAAUGUCAAAUUUAUUUAUAUAGCCCUUCGUACAUCAGCUGAUAUCUCAAAGUGCUGUACAGAAACCCAGCCUAAAACCCCAAACAGCAAGCAAUACAGGUGUAGUAGAAGCACGGUGGCUAGGAAAAACUCCAAAACCUAGAGAGGAACCAGGCUAUGAGGGGUGGCCAGUCCUCUUCUGGCUGUGCCAGGUGGAGAUUAUAACAGAACAUGGCCAAGAUGUUCAAAUGUUCAGCAUGGUCAAAUAAUAACAAUCACAGUAGUUGUCGAGGGUGCAGCAAGUCAGCACCUCAGGAGUAAAUGUCAGUUGGCUUUUCAUAGCCGAUCAUUAAGAGUAUCUCUACCACUCCUGCUGUCUCUAGAGAGUUGAAAACAGCAGGUCUGGGACAGGUAGCACCACAUUCAGAGUAUCUCUACCACUCCUGCUGUCUCUAGAGAGUUGAAAACAGCAGGUCUGGGACAGGUAGCACCACAUUCAGAGUAUCUCUACCACUCCUGCUGUCUCUAGAGAGUUGAAAACAGCAGGUCUGGGACAGGUAGCACCACAUUCAGAGUAUCUCUACCACUCCUGCUGUCUCUAGAGAGUUGAAAACAGCAGGUCUGGGACAGGUAGCACCACAUUCAGAGUAUCUCUACCACUCCUGCCGUCUCUAGAGAGUUGAAAACAGCAGGUCUGGGACAGGUAGCACCACAUUCAGAGUAUCUCUACCACUCCUGCUGUCUCUAGACAGUUGAAAACAGCAGGUCUGGGACAGGUAGCACCACAUUCAGAGUAUCUCUACCACUCCUGCUGUCUCUAGACAGUUGAAAACAGCAGGUCUGGGACAGGUAGCACCACAUUCAGAGUAUCUCUACCGUUCCUGCCGUCUCUAGACAGUUGAAAACAGCAGGUCUGAAUCUGUCAACACUUUGUCUAACAUUUUAUUUCUG